AGUUUUUCUUGGGCUUUUGACUAAGAUCAAGUGUAGUAUCUGUUUUUAUCAGUUUAAUAUCUGAUACGUUGGACAUUGGCUAACAUGAUAUUAAAUUAAUUUUUCCUUGGGGGAGGUCCCACCCCAAAAUAGCUGGCUAUUGGGGGCCUUAUGUGUCGCCCAUGCGUUGCACUAUUGCACCACUUGAUCAUUUGAA
This 196-nucleotide small nuclear RNA is filed under the name Macleaya cordata. RNAcentral's name for it is "U2 spliceosomal RNA". It matches the Rfam family "U2 spliceosomal RNA". Rfam says of the family: U2 is a small nuclear RNA (snRNA) component of the spliceosome (involved in pre-mRNA splicing). The record is from Rfam by way of RNAcentral. Lineage: Eukaryota; Viridiplantae; Streptophyta; Magnoliopsida; Ranunculales; Papaveraceae.